This 72-nucleotide transfer RNA is filed under the name Rodentolepis nana. RNAcentral describes it as "Hymenolepis nana tRNA". It matches the Rfam family "tRNA". Rfam says of the family: Transfer RNA (tRNA) molecules are approximately 80 nucleotides in length. Their secondary structure includes four short double-helical elements and three loops (D, anti-codon, and T loops). Further hydrogen bonds mediate the characteristic L-shaped molecular structure. tRNAs have two regions of fundamental functional importance: the anti-codon, which is responsible for specific mRNA codon recognition, and the 3' end, to which the tRNAs corresponding amino acid is attached (by aminoacyl-tRNA synthetases). tRNAs cope with the degeneracy of the genetic code in two manners: having more than one tRNA (with a specific anti-codon) for a particular amino acid; and 'wobble' base-pairing, i.e. permitting non-standard base-pairing at the 3rd anti-codon position. Lineage: Eukaryota; Metazoa; Platyhelminthes; Cestoda; Cyclophyllidea; Hymenolepididae. The record is from Rfam by way of RNAcentral.
GGCUCAGUGGUCUAGGGGUAUGAUUCUCGCUUUGGGUGCGAGAGGUCCAGUGUUCAAAUCCGGGCUGAGCCC